Molecule: long non-coding RNA, 2452 nt
Organism: Catharus ustulatus (Swainson's thrush)
Lineage: Eukaryota; Metazoa; Chordata; Aves; Passeriformes; Turdidae
Exons: 3
Source: RefSeq, a predicted model, not a curated record
CGCCACCCCCGCGCUGCAGGGUCGCGGCCAGCGCUGCUCUGCCCGUCCCCCGCAGCGCCCCGGCCGAGCCCUGCUGUGGAGGGGAGCCUUCCUCCCUCCCUCCCGCCCGCCCUUUGCGGUGUUCCCUCCCCGGCAGGUCCCGCACGGCGCGGCCCCGCAGCUCCGAGGCCCCUAAAGCGCCCUGCGGGGGCUGUCGGGGGUCGCCCGGGCGCUCGGGAGCGCGAGGAGCCUGGGCCGAGUCACUUGGGUUCUUGCCGGCUGGGGUCGUAUUUUGGGGUCUGCAAGAGCAAGAAAAUGUCUGCAGAGCCCCUGACUCUUUUGUGGAGGUCUAAAGACUCCUUUGGGGGCUAUAGAGGGAAGCAGGGGAGAGCGGGAGGAGACUGGAAGGUGAGGGCUGAGGUGGCCUGGAGCAGCGUGCUGAAGGGGGACGAGGAGCCAGAGCAUCUGUGGGAUUUCUUUAGUCUUCAGUAAAGAUCUUCAGUGAGUUACCUACCAUGGGAGUCGGGACAUCAACAGCGUCCAAAGUCCGUAAAGAUCACAAUAUUAGAGGUGUGCUGGGAACAUGAUGAGCACAAGACUCCCUGAAUGCUGCUGCAGAGCUGGUUGGACAUCCUGCCUUGGUUUCAGGCUAGUUUUGAACAGACUUGUUCACUCAUUUCCCAGCAGUCACUUGAGUAACGGGAACUCUUUAAUUUCCUUACAGAACCCCUUAGUAAAAGUUUAGACACAAACUCCACCUCUGAGUUUGGCAUCUGCCUCAUUAAAACAAUAUUUCCUCCCCUUCUGCUAACAAUCAACAAUUGUUUAACACUUCUGUAGCACUUCUUUACCAUGAUAACAACAGCAACUUUUUCAGAUGUCAUUUAACAUUCUCCCUGAAUAAUUGAAUUUACUCUUGAUGGGGCUGUUCUAAGUGGAAAUUGUGAAGACACUAUUACUGCUCUGCCAAUAAAUGUGUCAGACAUAACACUGUUAAGAAAAACUGGGCAAAAUAAUUGUGGAUUCUUCCUUACAGUGGCAAGAAAUUAUAAAAUAACAGUGUUUGUCAGAUUAAUUUGAAAAAAGAAUUUAUUGUUAUUUAAACUGUGAUAAGAAAAGGUGCUCUGAAGAUAUACCCAUUUCUUCUAACAGCCUAAUUUCUUGCAAGGACUUUCUAAUUAAUUUUGGUGUGACUUCAUUAAGUCACCAUUUCAGGAAGAUAUUCCAAUAUAUUUUCUUGAUCAGUAAUAGAUAAAAAUACUAAAAUUAUGUUUAACUGCAGCACUAACAUCAAGCACAAGACCCAGAAUAUCACAAAUUAACAACGUGUAGCUGAGAAAGGAAAAAAUUAGAAUUUAAUACUCCAGGAAAUAAAAUAGUUACACAUCCUUUUCAUAAAGCUUUAAUAACCUUGUUAACAAUUACUUUAAGCAGUUCAUGUGAGAAUGUCUAAGAUUAAAAAGCAGUAGUGAGCUUAAAUCUAUGUAAAAUGUCCUAUCAAAAGCUGUUCUCAAUUUAAUCGUUCAAACAAAGUAGCAAUUUUUACCAUUUUAUAGACUGGAAUUCCGAGGAGAUUUCUCUUAGAAGACCAUCCAUAUGCUAUAACUUUAGAUAUGAUGUAUUAUAUACAGCAUGUUACAUACAUAUUAUUAUUGUAGUUGUCAGAUGGUGAAUUCUGUCUCUUUUUUUGAAGAUAAUACACUUAAAGAUGGCUGUUCUAUGAAGAGUACAGUAUUUGCAAUGCAUGCAAUGAAUUUUAAGGCCCAUCAAGAACAUGAUAUUGUCUCAAUUUGAAUGGCUGGGAAGAUUCACAUUGACUCUGCUGUGUGUAGGGCUGCACUUUUAACCCAGGCUAAAUUUAAUGAUAGUCCCAUAAAUCACCAAGUCCAGGCACUGCAGCUCAGCUCACACAGGCAGAUCCUCAGCUCCAGAGCUCUGAUUAAGUCAACAGGGCUAGACAUCAGUACUGAUCUUGUGUGAUUGGAUUACAGGAUUGGAGCUGUGAUUUGUCCUACUGAAACCACUCUAAGGUACUUAAACAGAUAAAUCCUACUAUCAGAUUUCUUUUCUUAUUACACUUUCUGAAAUGAAAAAAAAAAAAAAGAAAAAGAAAACAAAACAAUAAAAAAAUCCCAACCUUGCUUUCUCCACGUAGCAUUAUGAUAGGGUGCACGUAGGGCUGGAGAGACAACAGAAAUACCUCAAGGGGAAUAAUAGUAGAAGUGUGAUUUCCUUUUCCACAAUAAGUUGUAAAAUACUUAUGCUUUUUUAUUUCCUCUGAACCCACUUCCAGUCCUUAGUUAACCCCACCCUCCCUGUGUGACCUGAACUACUUAACAUUCUGUUAUAAAGGAAAAUCAUGUCUAGGUUGCUUCCUGUCUCGAGUUUUAAUUCAUACCUUCUCAUCCCAUGUUUCUGGCAAAAUAACCCUAUCAAAUUAAACCAAGAAUAUGUUCAAAACACUUCUUUUUAA